Molecule: ribosomal RNA, 489 nt
Filed under: uncultured bacterium
Lineage: Bacteria
Description: partial 16S ribosomal RNA
Rfam family: Bacterial small subunit ribosomal RNA
Source: RNAcentral
GACGAACGCUGGCGGCGUGCUUAACACAUGCAAGUCGAACGGAAAGGCCCCCCUUUUGGUUGGGGUGCUCGAGUGGCGAACGGGUGAGUAACACGUGGGUGCUCUGCACUGUACUUUGGGAUCAGCUUGGGAAACUGGGUAUAAUAUCGGAUAGGACCGUGGUUUAGUGUGUUAUGGUGGAAUGAUUAUUGUUUUUGUGCAGGAUGAGCUCGAGGCCUGUCAGCUGGUGGGUGGAGUAAUUGCCUACCAAGGCGUCGGCGGGUAGCCGGAGAGUGAGGGUGGACGGCCACAAUGGGAGUGAGAUACGGGCCACACUCCUGCGGGAGGCAUCGGUAAUGAUUGUUACUCAGUGGGCGCAUGCCUGAUGCAGCGAGGCUGCGUGGAGGAGGACUUCCGUCUGGUUGUAAACUCCUUUCGUGAGGGACGGAGCCACACUUUUAUUGUGUGGGGUGACGGUUCCUUGGUUAAGAAGCACCGGCUAACUACGUG